CGCGGCCUAUCAGCUUGUUGGUGAGGUAAUGGCUCACCAAGGCUAUGACGGGUAGCGGGUCUGAGAGGACGAUCCGCCACACUGGGACUGAGACACGGCCCAGACUCCUACGGGAGGCAGCAGUGGGGAAUAUUGGACAAUGGGCGAAAGCCUGAUCCAGCAAUACCGUGUGAAGGAAGAAGGCUCUUGGGUCGUAAACUUCUGUCGGCAGGGAAAAAGGUUCGUCGGUGAAUAGCCGGCGCGCUUGAUGGUACCUGCAAAGGAAGCACCGGCUAACUCCGUGCCAGCAGCCGCGGUAAUACGGAGGGUGCAAGCGUUGUUCGGAAUUACUGGGCGUAAAGCGCGUCUAGGUGGGAUGGUAAGUCUCGUGUGAAAUGCUACGGCUCAACCGUAUGCACUGCGCGAGAAACUGCUGUUCUUGAGUGGCAGAGAGGCAGGCAGAAUACCUGGUGUAGCAGUGAAAUGCGUAGAUAUCAGGUGGAAUAUCUGAGGCGAAGGCGGCCUGCUGGAUGCUUACUGACACUGAAGCGCGAGAGCGUGGGUAGCAAACGGGAUUAGAUACCCCGGUAGUCCACGCCGUAAACGAUGGGCACUAGUUGUUGGAGGAUUGACCCCUUCAGUGACGACGCUAACGCAUUAAGUGCCCCGCCUGGGGAGUACGG
RNAcentral lists this ribosomal RNA (662 nucleotides) under uncultured bacterium. Its description in RNAcentral is "bacterial SSU rRNA". It matches the Rfam family "Bacterial small subunit ribosomal RNA", at positions 232 to 885 of the family's 1533-position model. The record is from RNAcentral.